UACGUAGGGGGCUAGCGUUGUCCGGAAUCAUUGGGCGUAAAGAGCGUGUAGGCGGUCCGGUAAGUCCGCUGUGAAAGUCGGGGGCUCAACCCUCGGAUGCCGGUGGAUACUGUCGGGCUCGAGUACGGAAGAGGCGAGUGGAAUUCCUGGUGUAGCGGUGAAAUGCGCAGAUAUCAGGAGGAACACCGAUUGCGAAGGCAGCUCGCUGGGACGUGACUGACGCUGAGACGCGAAAGCGUGGGGAGCAAACAGG
Molecule: ribosomal RNA, 253 nt
Filed under: uncultured bacterium
Lineage: Bacteria
Description: partial 16S ribosomal RNA
Rfam family: Bacterial small subunit ribosomal RNA
Source: RNAcentral